GUCAAUACAGUACCGGACGUCGUUCGUUUAUGCGAAUUACGCUAGUUUUGGGCAUAAGAAAGUCAUCGACCUCGUGCCCUCUAGGUAUUCCGCAUCCGAGAGCUCAAGCAAAAAUUCAUGAGCCGUAACAACACCAUGACGAGUGAGUAGCACGGAACACAAAUAAUGCUUCGACGUUCACCCAAAGCCGCACCCUUCGAAGGGGCAACACGAGACGAACGAUGGGCAAAUUGACAAUCGAAUUCCAUUAUAGUAGGUAUGCAACACAGGAAACCGAAACUUACGGCCAAGGCUAAUCUUGCUCUUGGGCCCAACAAGUGAAGAGGACU
Molecule: unclassified non-coding RNA, 329 nt
Filed under: Urophyllum blumeanum
Lineage: Eukaryota; Viridiplantae; Streptophyta; Magnoliopsida; Gentianales; Rubiaceae
Description: partial external transcribed spacer
Source: RNAcentral